This 46-nucleotide non-coding RNA is filed under the name Trichobilharzia regenti. Lineage: Eukaryota; Metazoa; Platyhelminthes; Trematoda; Strigeidida; Schistosomatidae. The record is from RNAcentral.
AUACUGCUGAAGAGUCCCAAACUAGGAUGAAACAGCUGUCCAGUAC